GAAAAUAAGCAAGCAGUGCCCACUUUAUGACCUUGUUGUCCAUAUGAAGAUGGAUGACACAAACCUGCUUCAACCCUGAUUAGGCAGCAAGCUUCCACUAAAAAAAUGUGUUCACUUUCUCUGGGUGGACACAGAAAAGGCAGAUCACGAGACAGGACGGAGAGAGAGAUGAAAAAGCAAGAGCAGCUGGCUUCCAGUAAAUGCUCUCAGACUCCCAUUUUCAUUAGUCCUAAAUUCCAUCAUAGUUUAAAGGAAGCAAAAGAUAAAGAGCAAAGGAACAUUUAAAAGAUUCUUCAGAGAGAGAGAGAGGCUUGCUUUACCAUUAAAACCCUGACUAGAAGUUAUUGUUAUUACUUGCUUUGCUGCUGUGCCCAGAGUCAGGAUGAGAUCCCCAUCGUGCAGUGUGUGGUGGAUGCAGGGGGGGCAGCCCUGCCAGAGCCCCACACACAGCAGCAGGCUGUGCUCCCCAUUGCAUGCAGCUGGACUAGGACCUGUGACAGAGGGGUUGAGGCAGUGUAGUAAGAGUGGCAGCAGUAAUAUCAGUAGGAAUGCAAGAAUUAUCAUUAUUGCCGUCUUUGCAAGAGAAAGAUGCUGAAGCAUAGGAAUCAUAGGAAUCAGAGACAUCCAGCUUGUCAUCACCACCUUGCAUGGGGCUGCAGUGGGGCUGCAUCUCUCAUUGCCCUCAACUGUGGGGCCAACAGCCUGUGAGAUAGGAACUGUCAGUGCAGCAGGUCCCAGUGCUCACUGCUUCCCUGGGCAUGGCACGUAUCUCCAAAGCGUGGUCACCUCUGAGCUCCCAGGCCAUACAAAGGAGCUGGGGUUCAGUCUGUCCAAAUCACUGAUGGGAUGGAAAAUGCAGAAGUCACUGUAACAGCUCCUAAGUGCUUUCAGGUGUAGCAUCCAGGAUUAAAAUGCAACCCCUGAAACCUUUACCUGCAUCAGAGAGCAGAAAACAAGCCCUGAGCUCCAUGUGUUGGAUGAGCUUGUCAGCAGAGGACCUUCCUGACCCUUCAUCCUGCAUUGCAGCUGUGCCCUCAGACGAAACAAACAAAACAAAGCAAAACAAAGGAACCACCGUGGCUGGGGCUUCUUCUAAUUUUAAUGAGGUUUCACCUUCAAAGAAGCAUCCGUUGGUGCACGCCAAAGAGCUGCAAGCACUGCUCAGAAGCACUGCAGCAGAAACUGCCUCUGAACCUCUGACAGCCUUCACUGCACAUGGCAGAGAUCAGCUGGAAAGAUGUACGAGCCAUCUUCAAAGCCAGAAUUGCUCAGGAAGCUUUUGCUCUUGCCUUAUUACUGGAGAACUGUCCGGGUCAGACACUUUUAUUGGGAGAAAACUUUCAUUGUUUUGGCUGUUUUUGUUCCUGCUUCUGGACGUGGCAGUCUAAUGACAUGACUGAUGUCUCCCAACUUGAUAGGCGUCAAUAAAAAUAGAUAGAGGAGGACUCA
Molecule: long non-coding RNA, 1449 nt
Filed under: Phasianus colchicus (ring-necked pheasant)
Lineage: Eukaryota; Metazoa; Chordata; Aves; Galliformes; Phasianidae
Description: lncRNA (ENSPCLG00000006031.1)
Source: RNAcentral